UACGGAGGGUGCAAGCGUUAUCCGGAUUUACUGGGUUUAAAGGGUGCGCAGGCGGAUAUGUAAGUCAGUGGUGAAAUCUCCGGGCUUAACCCGGAAACUGCCGUUGAUACUAUAUAUCUUGAAUGCUGUGGAGGUAAGCAGAAUAUGUCAUGUAGCGGUGAAAUGCUUAGAUAUGACAUAGAAUACCUAUUGCGAAGGCAGCUUACUACACAGAUAUUGACGCUCAUGCACGAAAGCGUGGGGGGCGAACAGG
This 253-nucleotide ribosomal RNA is filed under the name uncultured bacterium. Its description in RNAcentral is "partial 16S ribosomal RNA". It matches the Rfam family "Bacterial small subunit ribosomal RNA", at positions 524 to 776 of the family's 1533-position model. The record is from RNAcentral.